GAUGAACGCUGGCGGCGUGCCUAACACAUGCAAGUCGAGCGAACAGACGAGGAGCUUGCUCCUUUGACGUUAGCGGCGGACGGGUGAGUAACACGUAGGUCACCUACCUAUAAGACUGGGAUAACUUCGGGAAACCGUAGCUAAUACCGGCUAAUAUUUCGAACCGCAUGGUUCGAUAGUGAAAGAUGGCUUUGCUAUCACUUAUAGAUGGACCUGCGCCGUAUUAGCUAGUUGGUAAGGUAACGGCUUACCAAGGCAACGAUACGUAGCCGACCUGAGAGGGUGAUCAGCCACACUGGAACUGAGACACGGUCCAGACUCCUACGGGAGGCAGCAGUAGGGAAUCUUGCACAAUGGGCGAAAGCCUGACGGAGCAACGCCGCGUGAGUGAUGAAGGUCUUCGGAUCGUAAAACUCUGUUGUUAGGGAAGAACAAACGUGUAAGUAACUGUGCACGUCUUGACGGUACCUAAACAGAAAGCCACGGCUAACUACGUG
RNAcentral lists this ribosomal RNA (497 nucleotides) under uncultured bacterium. Its description in RNAcentral is "partial 16S ribosomal RNA". It matches the Rfam family "Bacterial small subunit ribosomal RNA", at positions 28 to 507 of the family's 1533-position model. The record is from RNAcentral.